AUCUUUGCGCUUGGGGCAAUGACGCAGUUAGUGAGGUGAAACCGAGACGCGUCAAUUGCUGGUUGAAAACUAUUUCCAUUCCCAUUUCCAUUUUCUAAUAGCACCUAAUCUGUCGAAUAUUUGACGGUCCCGCGGUU
This 137-nucleotide small nuclear RNA is filed under the name Marchantia polymorpha subsp. ruderalis. Its description in RNAcentral is "U4 spliceosomal RNA". It matches the Rfam family "U4 spliceosomal RNA". Rfam says of the family: U4 small nuclear RNA (U4 snRNA) is a component of the major U2-dependent spliceosome. The structure of U4 snRNA from yeast and human has been reported. Lineage: Eukaryota; Viridiplantae; Streptophyta; Marchantiopsida; Marchantiales; Marchantiaceae. The record is from Rfam by way of RNAcentral.